GGAGAGGUGACCGAGCGGCCGAAGGUGCUCGCCUGGAAAGCGGGUGUACCGAAAGGUACCGGGGGUUCGAAUCCCCCCCUCUCCGCCA
This 88-nucleotide transfer RNA is filed under the name Desulfuromonadales bacterium. RNAcentral describes it as "tRNA-Ser". It matches the Rfam family "tRNA". Rfam says of the family: Transfer RNA (tRNA) molecules are approximately 80 nucleotides in length. Their secondary structure includes four short double-helical elements and three loops (D, anti-codon, and T loops). RNAcentral also lists the same sequence under 1 other name. The record is from RNAcentral. Lineage: Bacteria; Pseudomonadati; Thermodesulfobacteriota; Desulfuromonadia; Desulfuromonadales.